UGCACUACUUCUAAGCCAUUCGAGGAUU
RNAcentral lists this small RNA (28 nucleotides) under Bombyx mori (domestic silkworm). RNAcentral's name for it is "ovarian small RNA-8490". Lineage: Eukaryota; Metazoa; Arthropoda; Insecta; Lepidoptera; Bombycidae. The record is from RNAcentral.